RNAcentral lists this ribosomal RNA (587 nucleotides) under Bacillus cereus. Its description in RNAcentral is "bacterial SSU rRNA". It matches the Rfam family "Bacterial small subunit ribosomal RNA", at positions 38 to 608 of the family's 1533-position model. Lineage: Bacteria; Bacillati; Bacillota; Bacilli; Caryophanales; Bacillaceae. The record is from RNAcentral.
GACGGCGGGUACUAUAAUGCAAGUCGAGCGAAUGGAUUAAGACUUUGCUCUUAUGAUUUAGCCGCGGACGGGUGAGUAACACGUGGGUAACCUGCCCAUAACAGUGGUAUAACUCCGGGAAACCGGGGCUAAUACCGGAUAAGUUUUGAACCGCGUGGUUCGAAAUUGAAAGGCGGCUUCCGCUGUCACUUAUGGAUGGACCCGCGUCACAUUAUCUAGUUGGAGAGGUAACGGCUCACCAGGGCAACGAUGCAUACCCGACCUGAGAGGGUGAUCGGCCACACUGGGACUGACACACGGCCCACACUCCUACGGGAGGCAGCAGUAGGGAAUCUUCCGCUGUGCACGAAAGUCUGACAGAGCCACCCCGCGUGAGUGAUGAAGGCUUUCAGGUCGUAAAACUCUGUUGUUAGGGAAGAACAAGUGCUAGUUGAAUAAGCUGGCACCUUGACGGUACCUAACCAGAAAGCCACGGCUAACUACGUGCCAACACCCGCGGUAAUACGUAUGUGGCAAGCGUUCUCCAGAAUUAUUGGGCGUAAAGCGCGCGCAGGUGGUUUCUUAAGUCUGAUGUGAAACCCCACGGC